AAGACUGCCACUCGAGGCCCGUCGGUAGAGUUGAGGUUUCACCAUGUUGGCCAGGCUGGUCUCGAACUCCGGACCUCAGGUGAUCUGCCCACCUUGGCCUCCCAAAGUGCUGGGAUUACAGGCAUGAGCCACUGUACCCAGCCAAGUCCUCCUGUUCGUAAUUACUUCGUGACCUCAGCCGUGCCCACCUCUCCGGGGCUCAGUUUCUCCUGUGAAAUGGAAACUGACCUCAGUGUUGAAGCACUUGCCAUUCUGAGGUGCCUGGACAGGGUCAGCCAGCAGCCGGCCCGGGGUGUCAGCCACCCCACCCAAGUCCCCGGUCUACCUGGACCUGGCCUACCUGCCCAGCGGGAGCAGCGCCCACCUGGUGGAUGAGGAGUUCUUCCAGCGCGUGCGCGCGCUCUGCUACGUCAUCAGUGGCCAGGACCAGCGCAAGGAGGAAGGCAUGCGGGCCGUCCUGGACGCGCUGCUGGCCAGCAAGCAGCAUUGGGACCGUGACCUGCAGGUGACCCUGAUCCCCACUUUCGACUCGGUGGCCAUGCAUACGUGGUACGCAGAGACGCACGCCCGGCACCAGGCGCUG
Molecule: small RNA, 583 nt
Filed under: Pan troglodytes (chimpanzee)
Lineage: Eukaryota; Metazoa; Chordata; Mammalia; Primates; Hominidae
Description: processed transcript
Source: RNAcentral